UAGUUACUUUACUACACUGAUACUUUACUACACCUCAGAGGUACAUGUUGUACUAUUUACUGUAGUACACCUCAGGGGUACAAGUUGUACCUUCUACUGUACUACGUCCCAGAAGGUGAAAUAAUGGCCGGUACCUGAGUGUAGUGGUUGGUGUUGUCCUACAGGGGGCAGCAGAGGCCUGACUGUCCUCCACACGGUGUGUUUGGUGAGUGGAGCUUCUCGUCCAUCCCAAAGGUGACCGCUGUCCAGUAACUAUCAAGGCCGUCUCUCUGUCCAGCCGCAGGGACACGAGGACUGACCGGAUGAGGGAAUCUGUGUACAUCUGAGCACCGGGACCGAAACCCACAGUCUCUGUACAGCAACCUGACUGCGCCUGGCUGAGUGUUGCACAUGUGUAAAAGCCAUGAAACACUGGAUGGGAAACAUGCUGAUUCUGACUCUCUGGCUCGAGUGUUCAGGAGAAGACACAGUGACCCAGUCCACAGGAGAGGUCAUCGCUACCGAAGGACACACAGUUACUCUUGACUGUACAUUUGAAAUAAGUAGUAGCAUUAAUGCAUAUUUGUUCUGGUACAAACAAGAAGUCAA
Molecule: non-coding RNA, 588 nt
Organism: Gasterosteus aculeatus aculeatus (three-spined stickleback)
Lineage: Eukaryota; Metazoa; Chordata; Actinopteri; Perciformes; Gasterosteidae
Source: RefSeq, a predicted model, not a curated record